Molecule: ribosomal RNA, 253 nt
Filed under: uncultured bacterium
Lineage: Bacteria
Description: partial 16S ribosomal RNA
Rfam family: Bacterial small subunit ribosomal RNA
Source: RNAcentral
UACGUAGGGGGCAAGCGUUGUCCGGAAUCAUUGGGCGUAAAGAGCGUGUAGGCGGCCCGGUAAGUCCGCUGUGAAAGUCCAGGGCUCAACCCUGGGAUGCCGGUGGAUACUGUCGGGCUCGAGUCCGGAAGAGGAGUGUGGAAUUCCUGGUGUAGCGGUGAAAUGCGCAGAUAUCAGGAGGAACACCAAUGGCGAAGGCAGCACUCUGGGACGUGACUGACGCUGAGGAGCGAAAGCGUGGGGAGCAAACAGG